Dromaius novaehollandiae (emu) is the source of this 3401-nucleotide long non-coding RNA. RefSeq lists it as uncharacterized. The record is from RefSeq and is a predicted model, not a curated record. Lineage: Eukaryota; Metazoa; Chordata; Aves; Casuariiformes; Dromaiidae. The transcript has 2 exons.
AGACAAUAGGCAUUGAUUUUAAAAUGAGGUCAGACAAUAUAUUUUGAAUUGUGCUCAAUUAAGAUGGCUGUGAACACUAUGCUACAGUGAAAUGGUAUCAGUCACACCUCAUAGUAUAAAACUAUGUGUGUACUUGUAUGCAUGAUAUGUAACUUGCAAUGGCAGUUAUACUAAGCCUGUAUAAGUUUCUGUUGUACAUAAAAAGAAUAUAUUCUUUGAGUGCCUGUUCACAUACAGAAUAUGAACAAACAUGGAUGCUUGAGCACUGUAAGCUAUCGGGGUCGUUAUACACCUCUUACCCUGCCAGUACCCCUUUGUUUUAGCUGCUGUUUCAUGCUGAAGCGUAUUAUUUGGUCCUCAGUUCCUCUUGGAUGGUCUGCAGCAAGAUGAAAUGCCUUGUUGCUGUCUUCGGAUUGCUGUGGAAUUGUGGAUUAUGAGCCAUCCUGAACAGGAGACUUAUGCCUGGGAUAUCUCAAGAGCACUCUUCCCUUCAUGUCUUUGUCCUUAUCAUCCUGGCAGUUUCCCUUGAGGUUUGAUCAAGGUUGAUGCCAGCUCUGUGGAACUGGCUGUCAUUCAAAUGGAGCUGGAGGUGGUAAAAAGCAAAAGAGCCAUCAGCUCAUCCACUGGUCGUAUUUGCUUGGCAGAAAUGGGCCUUCUGACAUGGAAACGCCUCUUUGGUCAUCUGCUCUGGACUUUGAAAGAGAUCGCCCAGCACUGUGUGUUCCGUUGCAUCUCCGAAGGACCUGAUUAUUCUCCAAGAGUUCUGGUUGCCUCUGCUAGCAUUUCCACUGGCACCAGCUGUUGCACCAUUGCCACAGGUUGCAAGAAUUCCUUGUAGCUUUGAGAAUGAUCAGAAUCUGAAUGUUUGUAAUGGGCACAGCUGUUCUUCCUGCUCAUGAUGAACAAAUGACACAAGGUGCUCCAAAGACAUUAUGGAAAAGAGUACUCAGCUUUGGCUCCCCAAUAUCUUUGGUCACUGGAUUACUGUUCCUUUUUGGAUAUCCUCUACGAUCUUCUGCAGGCAAGUAAAAAGACUCUUCUCAUAAUUUAGGCUAUUGUGGACCUGCUUGAAGAUCUGUGACUAGGCUUCUAUCUUCUUGACUCCUCCUCAUCUCUGAACAAAUAUAAAGUAUCAGGUUCUCUGGGGAUUAGAGUGGAUUAUUUUUGCCCUUUCUUUUUUCUCUCUUAUUCUGACAUUGCAUUCCCUUAUCUCUCUGAUUUUGUAGCUUGUGAAAAGCUUCAGCAGUUUAGAGCACAAAAAGCAAACAAAAGAGAACCCUGAAAGACUGGAUCUUACUGGUGUAAAAAGCAAACAUAAAACAUGGCAAGUCUUCAUUUGGUUUGCCAACUGUUGGACUUCAGGGAUCCUACUGUAAUUUGUGAAGUUGGCGUUCCUCGUCUAUAUAGUAGCUUCCGCUAGGUUCCCGAGAGAAUUAAGCAUCUCUCUGGCAGAAGGUCACAUAAUGUCCAGGGUCUUGCUCUGCUGGAUGCUGGCUUCCUGCUCCAUUCCUGUAACUAUGGCUAUGCAGUGACAAUCCAGACUUCAUAUUUUGGUUUCCACAGAAGCUGCUGUUUGCUUUGCAGGGUUCCUUCUCGGUAAAGAGCGAGCUUUUUAGCUUUAAUAAGGUUUCUAAUGCACGGAAGGACUGUAGAGCAAUCCUUUAAUCUUAGACGUGUGUACUGGCUUUUGAGUAGUCAGUAUGUAGAUCUAUCGGCUACGCUGGAGAGCCUGUCAGCUUCAUCCCUAGUUGUUCAUCCCCAUAGCCUGGAGGGUGCCUAUGUAGGACUAGAUGCAAGUCGGAUGCUGCCUUGACUUCCUUUUCUGCUUUUGUCUUCCAGGCAGCUGUGCCAGAGGGGUAUAACUCACUACUUUUGUCUUUGCUUUCUGUGUUUGCUUCAGUGCUAGAAUUUUGCUAGACUGGGGGCUGUCUGUACUGGACACCGAAAACAGAAUGUAUCGCUUCUUUAUUUCAGUUUUCCUCUCUUGCUUGCUUUCUUUGUUUCUAGGGGUUCUUCUUAUGAAAUCUUACUCUUGCCGUUCUUUGAGUGACAGAACUGGGUUGCCCUUACAUUAAUGUUUAAAAUACGACUGCACAGGACAAAGCUGUUCAGAUGUCCUAAGAGGUGGUCUUCUGUCUCUAGUGAUAAUAUUCACAGGCACAGGGGAACUGUUACCAGUGAACAGAGUGCCCUCCACCAGGACUUGGGCCAGCUUGGUGGUAUGACAUAUAUGAUGUCUAGAUCCUGGACAGCUGCAAGGGAAUUUUUUUAACACUCCGGAUGUGCUUUCAUCAGCAGUGAUGGCAUUGCUUCCUUCAAGAGAUCUCGGCAGCAGUGAGUACAAGCUCUGUGGUUGCUGUCUGCAUGAUGACUUUCUUCCGGAGGAAUUUGUGGCACUAGCUGGAGUCAUCCCCAGUGGAAAAGUACACAUGGAUAGUACACCCAAAAAUUCCAGUUGCUUCCAUGCAGCUUCCUUCUGUUAUUUGCUUGUCACAACCUCUUGUAUGCCAUCUAUUAGUGACAAAAGGUACAUGCACUGCAAAUAGCCUGCAUAAUAAGUGUUGGUCUCGUGGGGUUUUUUUUCCCUCUUUUAAACUAUAUGUAUUGGGUGAAAUCCAGUUGAUACUCUCUUGCAGUUGAGGUUUAAAAGGUGUUAAUAUUCUCCACUGCGUGACCACAGCUGCAAAUACUUCCAGUAUUGGCAAUAAAAAAAGCAAUGCUAGCCAACAGGGCCAGAUUUACAAAGCUAUUUAGGUGCCUAAAAAAUGUAGAGCAGUGCUUCUGAAAGUCUCCAUGACACUUAUCUGUAGGCAUCUAAAUAGCUCAUAAAUCCUGUAUUUUGUCUUGAACUGUAGUGUUCCUCUCUGGACCCGCCCUUGCAGCUGUUGGUAUGCAAAAAAAAGCACGGUGUAGGUACAGAUGUGUGGGGUUUUUUGUUUUUUUGUUUAACUAGAGCUCUAAACUUUAUAUCCUCAUACUGUAUUGUUUACAAAUAUACAGUUUUAAGAUGCUGAAGCUGUGAUUGGCAUGGUUUGCUGCUUUUUUUUCUAAUGGAUGAAUUUAUUUACAUGUUUGAUCCUAGCUGUGUAUUGUCAAUGUACUUUGGCCAUAUGCAAAGCUGAACAGACUGCUGCUGCAGGCCUGAGUAUCAUGUGUAUACCUUAUGUGUUUGGAAGAUGGUAUGUGGGAGUUGAGCUACAGUGGUGUGAAUAUUUUUAUUAACUCAGUAGCAUCAGGUGAAUUUUAGACUUGUGCUUAAAAAUGUCUCUGAUUAAGUCUGCUAAGAUAGUCCCUAACACUGCGGCUUUGCUGCUUACCACUGCUGGUCUGUACGGAGUCCUUCUAUGAUACUUUCUUUGCAUGCUGUAGCAAUGAUGUAAAUAAAGCAUUAGAACAGCUGA